AGAGUGUACCGCAGACAUCAUUCCUACUACAGUGGCGGAGCCGUACAGGACCUGUUUCACUGCAGGGGGAUCCAAAACAAGCUCCGUGGAGCAGCAGCCAGAGCCACAGCGGCCGCGAGACACUCUCUCUCUCCCCUAUCCCCCUUCCCCACGCAACCCCAGAUCCAUUUACACUUUACAGGGCAUCGUGCAACAAGUCGCCAGGGUGAUCCCUUCGAGAAGCAGGCUUGGAUUUCGUCCUCUUCCCGCGGGCUCCUCCUCCACAGCCGCCACUGGGAAGUGCAUCUCCUGUCAGCAUCCUGGGCCAUCAUGUAAGAGUCUGCUCUGAGGCCUCCCUGGGAGUGCUGCCAUAGGCCGUGAGCACGAGGGGCAGGAGUGGACCCCAGCCUGCCCCGAGGAUCCUGAAACACAGCUCCUCUCUGGUCUAGGCAUCUGACACAUCCUACUGCCACCCUUUAUGUUCAAGCAGAAUCCUGUGCGGGCAUCUACUAAGAAGAGACCAACUGCAUAUGGUUCUCCAUUGUGAUGAAAGCGCAUGGUACAGGUCCUUUCCACCUCUCCAGGGAAGGAAGAAAGGCCCGGAGCCCUCCCGCUUCUGUAGGACAUCUUCAUGGUGAACUGUAGGCUGAGGCUACCUGGGAACGUAGCACAGUGAAUGCUUAUAGAUGACGAAACGGACGGACGCUGAGAAAAGUUCAGUAAUUAUGCAAGAUUACUCAAGGGGCGAUGCCAUAACCAGAACUUGAACCCAGAUGUUUUGAGUUUCUGACUUCAAAGCUCGAGGACUUUCAUGUACACAGAACGGAAUAAAGUUUCUUUUUAAAGAUUUGCUUGAAAGCCGAGCUCAGUUUUCAUUAGCGCGUUGUCUGGACACAAAGGACGGUGAACAAAGUAAAUUUGAGGAAGCUUAAAUGAGGUAAGCAUUCUUUUCCAAGCUUUUAGCUAAAAAUAGUUUCAGCUAAACUCUGGCCAGAAUCUUCACAUUCUAGCCCUUGAGUUUCUGAGCCACUAAGAGCUUCUGAUUAGGUACAACUUGUCAGACAUUUUCAGAAAGAAUUACAAAGUUU
This is a long non-coding RNA of Ochotona princeps (American pika), 1067 nucleotides long. RefSeq lists it as uncharacterized. The transcript is spliced from 6 exons. Lineage: Eukaryota; Metazoa; Chordata; Mammalia; Lagomorpha; Ochotonidae. The record is from RefSeq and is a predicted model, not a curated record.